AACGAACGCUGGCGGCAGGCUUAACACAUGCAAGUCGAACGGCUGUAGCAAUACAGCAGUGGCAGACGGGUGAGUAACACGUGGGAACCUUCCUAGGGGUACGGAACAACUCAGGGAAACUUGAGCUAAUACCGUAUACGUCCGUAAGGAGAAAGAUUCAUCGCCCCUAGACGGGCCCGCGUCGGAUUAGGUAGUUGGUGGGGUAACGGCCUACCAAGCCUGCGAUCCGUAGCUGAUCUGAGAGGAUGAUCAGCCACACUGGGACUGAGACACGGCCCAGACUCCUACGGGAGGCAGCAGUGGGGAAUCUUGGACAAUGGGCGCAAGCCUGAUCCAGCGAUGCCGCGUGUGUGAAGAAGGCCUGCGGGUUGUAAAGCACUUUCAGUAGGGAAGAAAGCGAGUGCCAAUACACUCGGUCUUGACGUUACCUAAAGAAGAAGCACCGGCUAACUCCGUGCCAGC
Molecule: ribosomal RNA, 462 nt
Filed under: uncultured bacterium
Lineage: Bacteria
Description: bacterial SSU rRNA
Rfam family: Bacterial small subunit ribosomal RNA
Source: RNAcentral